UGGGGAAUAUUGGGCAAUGGAGGCAACUCUGACCCAGCAACGCCGCGUGAGCGAUGAAGGUCUUCGGAUUGUAAAGCUCUUUAAGUGGGGACGAAGAAAGUGACUGUACCCACAGAAUAAGCCUCGGCUAACUACGUGCCAGCAGCCGCGGUAAUACGUAGGAGGCAAGCGUUAUCCGGAAUGACUGGGCGUAAAGGGUGCGUAGGUGGUUUGGCAAGUUGGUAGCGUAAUUCCGGGGCUCAACUUCGGAACUACUACCAAAACUGCUGGGCUUGAGUGCAGGAGGGGUGAACGGAAUUCCUAGUGUAGCGGUGGAAUGCGUAGAUAUUAGGAGGAACACCAGCGGCGAAGGCGGUUCACUGGACUGUAACUGACACUGAGGCACGAAAGCGUGGGGAGC
RNAcentral lists this ribosomal RNA (400 nucleotides) under uncultured bacterium. Its description in RNAcentral is "bacterial SSU rRNA". It matches the Rfam family "Bacterial small subunit ribosomal RNA", at positions 355 to 769 of the family's 1533-position model. The record is from RNAcentral.